RNAcentral lists this ribosomal RNA (478 nucleotides) under uncultured bacterium. Its description in RNAcentral is "partial 16S ribosomal RNA". It matches the Rfam family "Bacterial small subunit ribosomal RNA", at positions 28 to 523 of the family's 1533-position model. The record is from RNAcentral.
GACGAACGCUGGCGGCGUGCUUAACACAUGCAAGUCGAACGGUAAGGCCCUUCGGGGUACACGAGUGGCGAACGGGUGAGUAACACGUGGGUGAUCUGCCCUGCACUUCGGGAUAAGCCUGGGAAACUGGGUCUAAUACCGGAUAGGACCACUGCCUGCAUGGGUGGUGGUGGAAAGCUUUUGCGGUGUGGGAUGGGCCCGCGGCCUAUCAGCUUGUUGGUGGGGUGAUGGCCUACCAAGGCGACGACGGGUAGCCGGCCUGAGAGGGUGACCGGCCACAAGGGGACUGAGAUACGUCCCAGACGCCUACGGGAGGCAGCAGUGGGGAAUAUUGCACAAUGGGCGCAAGCCUGAUGCAGCGACGCCGCGUGAGGGAUGACGUCCUUCGGGUUGUAAACCUCUUUCAGCACCGACGAAGCGCAAGUGACGGUAGGUGCAGAAGAAGGACCGGCCAACUACGUGCCAGCAGCCGCCGCAG